Molecule: transfer RNA, 81 nt
Filed under: Blumeria hordei DH14
Lineage: Eukaryota; Fungi; Ascomycota; Leotiomycetes; Helotiales; Erysiphaceae
Description: tRNA-Gly for anticodon GCC
Rfam family: tRNA
About the family: Transfer RNA (tRNA) molecules are approximately 80 nucleotides in length. Their secondary structure includes four short double-helical elements and three loops (D, anti-codon, and T loops). Further hydrogen bonds mediate the characteristic L-shaped molecular structure. tRNAs have two regions of fundamental functional importance: the anti-codon, which is responsible for specific mRNA codon recognition, and the 3' end, to which the tRNAs corresponding amino acid is attached (by aminoacyl-tRNA synthetases). tRNAs cope with the degeneracy of the genetic code in two manners: having more than one tRNA (with a specific anti-codon) for a particular amino acid; and 'wobble' base-pairing, i.e. permitting non-standard base-pairing at the 3rd anti-codon position.
Source: Rfam by way of RNAcentral
GCAUCAGUGGUUUAGUGGUAAAAUCCAUCGUUGCCACGCAACAAGUUCGAUGGGCCCCGUGUUCGAUUCACGGCUGAUGCA